RNAcentral lists this ribosomal RNA (472 nucleotides) under uncultured bacterium. RNAcentral describes it as "bacterial SSU rRNA". It matches the Rfam family "Bacterial small subunit ribosomal RNA", at positions 355 to 825 of the family's 1533-position model. The record is from RNAcentral.
UCGGGAAUUUUGGGCAAUGGGCGAAAGCCUGACCCAGCAACGCCGCGUGGAGGAUGAAGGUCUUCGGAUUGUAAACUCCUGUCGACCGGGACGAAUGCACUCGACCUAAUACGUCGGAAUGUUGACGGUACCGGUGGAGGAAGCCACGGCUAACUCUGUGCCAGCAGCCGCGGUAAUACAGAGGUGGCAAGCGUUGUUCGGAAUUACUGGGCGUAAAGGGCGCGUAGGCGGCCCCAUAAGUCUCGUGUGAAAGCCCUCGGCUUAACUGAGGAUCUGCACGGGAUACUGUGGGGCUCGAGUUCGGGAGAGGAAAGCGGAAUUCCGGGUGUAGCGGUGAAAUGCGUAGAUAUCCGGAGGAACACCAGUGGCGAAGGCGGCUUUCUGGACCGACACUGACGCUGAGGCGCGAAAGCUAGGGGAGCAAACGGGAUUAGAUACCCCGGUAGUCCCUGAGCGGGCUGGCAAGGCGCAU